AUGUUCUUUGGGGAGCAAGGAAGGAGCAACGCAAAACCAAAGCCCAUUUGGACUUGCCCGGCCACGGAUGUUGUCAAGAUAAAUUUUGAUGGAUCUUUCGACCCGGAGUCCAGGCACGCAGGCUGGGGCUGCAUCGCCCGUGACCAUUCAAGAGGGGUGAUCUUCGCGGCAGCAGGAAAACUUGCACACAUGAGCGAAGCCCUGCAUGCCGAGGCGUGUGCCCUCAUGUAUGCAAUGAAGCUAGCAGAAGACCAUGGAAUGGGACGGGUUGUUUUUGAAACUGACUGCACCGGAGUCCAGCAGGCUGUCACGACAACUACACUGGAUCGGUCCAACCUGGGCACCCUCUUUCGUGAGAUCAAAUACCUUCUCCAAAUGGGUUUUAUUGAGUGGAAAGUCACAUACUGCCCACGCCUAUGUAAUGUUCCUGCCCAAGAACUAGCGGCUAUUGGUAGGCGGGACGACAAUGCCGGCCUCCAUGUGUGGUCGGUAAACCUCCCUAAAGUUGUAACCGAUGCGGUGACCGCCGAUAUGGCUGGUCCACGGUGA
Molecule: ribosomal RNA, 549 nt
Filed under: Triticum aestivum (bread wheat)
Lineage: Eukaryota; Viridiplantae; Streptophyta; Magnoliopsida; Poales; Poaceae
Description: partial small subunit ribosomal RNA
Source: RNAcentral